RNAcentral lists this ribosomal RNA (372 nucleotides) under Triticum aestivum (bread wheat). RNAcentral describes it as "partial small subunit ribosomal RNA". Lineage: Eukaryota; Viridiplantae; Streptophyta; Magnoliopsida; Poales; Poaceae. The record is from RNAcentral.
AUGAACAUGAUGACGGUGCUAACCGAGAUGAGAAUAUGCCGGACAUGGAUGCUAGCAAGAGAGCCAAAACCACUCAAUGAUAGUGGAAGUACAUCGUCACGGACUAGAAAUGUCAGUGUCGGCACUGUGGAGCACCUUGAUGUGGUCGUCCCGAGCUCGGCCCAUGCUGCACCACACACAGAUGGUCAAAAUAGUGCUUUAGCAUGCAUACCCAACCGUGCACCAUACCGUACCAAUCCAAAGGAGACGAAGGAGAUUAUGCGUCAAGUACAGGAGCUACUCGAAAAAGGUUAUAUACACGAAUCCCUUAGUCCUUGUGCUAUUCCUAUCAUUUUAGUGCCGAAAAAGGAUGGUACUUCGCGUAUUGCGUAG